Acanthosepion pharaonis is the source of this 109-nucleotide non-coding RNA. The record is from the annotation of a GenBank genome assembly. Lineage: Eukaryota; Metazoa; Mollusca; Cephalopoda; Sepiida; Sepiidae.
ACAUAUCACACUGAAACAACGGCUCUCGUGCGAUCUGCGAAGUUAAGCAACGUUAGAGCCUGGUCAGUACAUAGAUAGUUCACCUCUUGGGAAUAACAAGUGCUGUAUG